This 140-nucleotide small nucleolar RNA is filed under the name Dicentrarchus labrax (European seabass). Its description in RNAcentral is "Small nucleolar RNA SNORA57 (ENSDLAG00005028921.1)". It matches the Rfam family "Small nucleolar RNA SNORA57". Rfam says of the family: U99 belongs to the H/ACA class of snoRNAs which are thought to guide the sites of modification of uridines to pseudouridines, the target for this family is unknown. Lineage: Eukaryota; Metazoa; Chordata; Actinopteri; Moronidae. The record is from Rfam by way of RNAcentral.
CCUCCAUUUCUUGGCAUACAUGUGGUUGUUUAGUACCCGUGUAUGUAAUGUACGGAGGAACAGUAAAUGCAGCGCUAUGUCUUCGGUACCGGUGUGUAUUUGAUGGUCUGCCGGUUCUAUCCUCAAUCGCUGUUACAUUC